ACUCCGCAGUUAAGCGUGCU
This 20-nucleotide small nuclear RNA is filed under the name Arabidopsis thaliana (thale cress). RNAcentral's name for it is "snRNA_15713". Lineage: Eukaryota; Viridiplantae; Streptophyta; Magnoliopsida; Brassicales; Brassicaceae. The record is from RNAcentral.